This 75-nucleotide transfer RNA is filed under the name Elusimicrobia bacterium GWA2_66_18. Its description in RNAcentral is "tRNA-Trp". It matches the Rfam family "tRNA". From Rfam's summary of the family: Transfer RNA (tRNA) molecules are approximately 80 nucleotides in length. Their secondary structure includes four short double-helical elements and three loops (D, anti-codon, and T loops). RNAcentral also lists the same sequence under 2 other names. Lineage: Bacteria; Pseudomonadati; Elusimicrobiota. The record is from RNAcentral.
GGGGGUAUCGGUUAAUGGCUAAACCACCGGUCUCCAAAACCGGAACUCCAGGUUCGAAUCCUGGUACCCCCGCCA